This 253-nucleotide ribosomal RNA is filed under the name uncultured bacterium. Its description in RNAcentral is "partial 16S ribosomal RNA". It matches the Rfam family "Bacterial small subunit ribosomal RNA", at positions 524 to 776 of the family's 1533-position model. The record is from RNAcentral.
UACGGGGGGGGCAAGCGUUGUUCGGAAUUACUGGGCGUAAAGGGUUUGUAGGUGGCUUGCUAAGUCAGACGUGAAAUCCCUCAGCUUAACUGGGGAACUGCGUCUGAGACUGGUGAGCUUGAGUGCAGGAGAGGAACGCGGAAUUCCAGGUGUAGCGGUGAAAUGCGUAGAUAUCUGGAGGAACACCGGUGGCGAAGGCGGCGUUCUGGACUGUAACUGACACUGAUGAACGAAAGCCAGGGGAGCAAACGGG